GCUUAACGCGAAGAACCUUACCCACACUUGACAUGCCUCUUUUGGCUUUCAGAGAUGAUUGCCUUCGGUUCGGCCGGGGAGUGCACAGGUGCUGCAUGGCUGUCGUCAGCUCGUGUCGUGAGAUGUUGGGUUAAGUCCCGCAACGAGCGCAACCCUUAUCGUAUGUUGCCAGCAUUUAGUUGGGCACUCGUGCGAGACUGCCGGUGAUAAGCCGGAGGAAGGCGGGGACGACGUCAAGUCAUCAUGGCCCUUACGUGUGGGGCUAGAAACGUGCUACAAUGGGAGUGACAGUGAGCAGCGAGGUCGCGAGGCCAAGCUAAUCUCCAAAAGCUCUCUCAGUUCAGAUUGUAGUCUGCAACUCGACUACAUGAAGUUGGAAUCGCUAGUAAUCGCAAAUCAGCAUGUUGCGGUGAAUACGUUCCCGGGUCUUGUACACACC
RNAcentral lists this ribosomal RNA (439 nucleotides) under uncultured bacterium. Its description in RNAcentral is "bacterial SSU rRNA". It matches the Rfam family "Bacterial small subunit ribosomal RNA", at positions 954 to 1391 of the family's 1533-position model. The record is from RNAcentral.